GGGAUUGCCUUAGUACGGCGAGUGAAGCGGCAAAAGCUCAAAUUUGAAAUCUGGUACCUUCGGUGCCCGAGUUGUAAUUUGGAGAGGGCAACUUUGGGGCCGUUCCUUGUCUAUGUUCCUUGGAACAGGACGUCAUAGAGGGUGAGAAUCCCGUGUGGCGAGGAGUGCGGUUCUUUGUAAAGUGCCUUCGAAGAGUCGAGUUGUUUGGGAAUGCAGCUCUAAGUGGGUGGUAAAUUCCAUCUAAAGCUAAAUAUUGGCGAGAGACCGAUAGCGAACAAGUACAGUGAUGGAAAGAUGAAAAGAACUUUGAAAAGAGAGUGAAAAAGUACGUGAAAUUGUUGAAAGGGAAGGGCAUUUGAUCAGACAUGGUGUUUUGUGCCCUCUGCUCCUUGUGGGUAGGGGAAUCUCGCAUUUCACUGGGCCAGCAUCAGUUUUGGUGGCAGGAUAAAUCCAUAGGAAUGUAGCUUGCCUCGGUAAGUAUUAUAGCCUGUGGGAAUACUGCCAGCUGGGACUGAGGACUGCGACGUAAGUCAAGGAUGCUGGCAUAAUGGUUAUAUGCCGCCCGUCUUGAAAACACGGACCA
This 583-nucleotide ribosomal RNA is filed under the name Saccharomyces cerevisiae (brewer's yeast). RNAcentral's name for it is "eukaryotic LSU rRNA". It matches the Rfam family "Eukaryotic large subunit ribosomal RNA", at positions 71 to 668 of the family's 3401-position model. Lineage: Eukaryota; Fungi; Ascomycota; Saccharomycetes; Saccharomycetales; Saccharomycetaceae. The record is from RNAcentral.